RNAcentral lists this ribosomal RNA (426 nucleotides) under uncultured bacterium. RNAcentral describes it as "bacterial SSU rRNA". It matches the Rfam family "Bacterial small subunit ribosomal RNA", at positions 42 to 470 of the family's 1533-position model. The record is from RNAcentral.
UCAGGCCUAACACAUGCAAGUCGAGGGGUAGAACAUUUCGGUGUUUGAGACCGGCGCACGGGUGCGUAACGCGUAUGCAACCUACCUUUUACAGGGGAAUAGCCCGGAGAAAUUUGGAUUAAUGCCCCAUGGUAUAUUUAGAUGGCAUCAUCUGAUUAUUAAAGUUCCAACGGUAAAAGAUGGGCAUGCGUCCUAUUAGCUAGAUGGUAAGGUAACGGCUUACCAUGGCAACGAUAGGUAGGGGUCCUGAGAGGGAGAUCCCCCACACUGGUACUGAGACACGGACCAGACUCCUACGGGAGGCAGCAGUGAGGAAUAUUGGACAAUGGGCGCAAGCCUGAUCCAGCCAUGCCGCGUGCAGGAAGAAGCAUCUAUGGUGUGUAAAGUGCUUUUGUACGGGAAGAAACACUCCUACGGUAGGAGCUG